CGGGACCCUGACCUCAGGCAGAUGUUUGGGCAAUAUGGGAAGAUUCUGGAUGUAGAGAUUAUUUUCAAUGAGAGGGGAUCAAAGGGUUUUGGCUUUGUGACAUUUGAGACCAGCGCAGACGCAGAGAAAGCCAGGGAAAAGCUCCACGGCACACUGGUGGAAGGUCGUAAGAU
This is a long non-coding RNA of Perca flavescens (yellow perch), 173 nucleotides long. RefSeq lists it as uncharacterized. The transcript has 3 exons. NCBI's taxonomy places the organism in Eukaryota, Metazoa, Chordata, Actinopteri, Perciformes, Percidae. The record is from RefSeq and is a predicted model, not a curated record.